UUAUCUACUUUUGCAGCUGAUUCCACAGAUUCUCCGAAGAUUGACGGUUUUUGGUGGGGCUGAGACAUCGAGUACAGCCCGAGCAAAGAGAGGGAACCAUUCCAACUGGAGUAAUUGCUGGAGAAGCAGGGGUUCUUUUUUUCUAUAUAGCAGGUUCUGAGUUUGAGGAAAUAGAGCGGUGCUAAUGCCAGUAAUGUAGGGGAUGAUAGGCCGAGCUAGGACAAGAACAUGGAAGGCUCUUGCUUUUGGCAUUCUUAUUAUGGAUAAGAUGGACGUGAGUUGCUGCAACGUCGGGUUCAAAGAUACCCCAUACCAGUUAUUUAUGUCAAAAAGCAAUUAAGUUGGGUGAAGAAGGAUCGUUUACUCAAGAGAACUACAGUUUGGCAAUUCUUGCCCUUGAAGAUGUUUUUGCAACUUACGUGUGCGCAAAUAACUCCAAUAAGAACCUUAUGGAACCUGGAACAUCAACUGUUUCAGGUGUUUUUAAGGAUCGAAGAGGAUAAUCGAGGCAGAAACAUGUGUACGAUAAAAAAAAA
Molecule: long non-coding RNA, 536 nt
Organism: Helianthus annuus (common sunflower)
Lineage: Eukaryota; Viridiplantae; Streptophyta; Magnoliopsida; Asterales; Asteraceae
Exons: 3
Source: RefSeq, a predicted model, not a curated record